RNAcentral lists this ribosomal RNA (497 nucleotides) under uncultured bacterium. RNAcentral's name for it is "partial 16S ribosomal RNA". It matches the Rfam family "Bacterial small subunit ribosomal RNA", at positions 28 to 507 of the family's 1533-position model. The record is from RNAcentral.
GAUGAACGCUGGCGGCGUGCCUAAUACAUGCAAGUCGAGCGAACAGAUGAGGAGCUUGCUCCUCUGACGUUAGCGGCGGACGGGUGAGUAACACGUGGAUAACCUACCUAUAAGACUGGGAUAACUUCGGGAAACCGGAGCUAAUACCGGAUAAUAUAUUUAACCGCAUGGUUCAAUAGUGAAAGACGGUUUUGCUGUCACUUAUAGAUUGAUCCGCGCCGCAUUAGCUAGUUGGUAAGGUAACGGCUUACCAAGGCAACGAUGCGUAGCCGACCUGAGAGGGUGAGCGGCCACACUGGAACUGAGACACGGUCCAGACUCCUACGGGAGGCAGCAGUAGGGAAUCUUCCGCAAUGGGCGAAAGCCUGACGGAGCAACGCCGCGUGAGUGAUGAAGGUCUUCGGAUCGUAAAACUCUGUUAUUAGGGAAGAACAAAUGUGUAAGUAACUAUGCACGUCUUGACGGUACCUAAUCAGAAAGCCACGGCUAACUACGUG